RNAcentral lists this ribosomal RNA (442 nucleotides) under uncultured bacterium. Its description in RNAcentral is "partial 16S ribosomal RNA". It matches the Rfam family "Bacterial small subunit ribosomal RNA", at positions 338 to 795 of the family's 1533-position model. The record is from RNAcentral.
CCUACGGGAGGCAGCAGUGGGGAAUAUUGGGCAAUGGGCGCAAGCCUGACCCAGCAACGCCGCGUGAAGGAAGAAGGCUUUCGGGUUGUAAACUUCUUUUCAGAGGGAAGAGCAGAAGACGGUACCUCUUGAAUAAGCCACGGCUAACUACGUGCCAGCAGCCGCGGUAAUACGUCGGUGGCAAGCGUUGUUCGGAAUCACUGGGCGUAAAGCGUGCGUAGGCUGUUUCGUAAGUCGUGUGUGAAAGGCGCGGGCUCAACCCGCGGACGGCACAGGAUACUGCCUUGCGGGAAUGCGGAUGCCGUGGGAGGAAUGUGUGGUGUAGCAGUGAAAUGCAUAGAUAUCACACAGAACACCGAGUGCGAAGGCAUCUCACGAAUCCGCGAUUGACGCUGAUGCACGAAAGCGUGGGUAUCAAACAGGAUUAGAUACCCUAGUAGUC